RNAcentral lists this ribosomal RNA (1073 nucleotides) under Salmonella enterica. Its description in RNAcentral is "partial 23S ribosomal RNA". It matches the Rfam family "Bacterial large subunit ribosomal RNA", at positions 690 to 1681 of the family's 2925-position model. Lineage: Bacteria; Pseudomonadati; Pseudomonadota; Gammaproteobacteria; Enterobacterales; Enterobacteriaceae. The record is from RNAcentral.
GGGCGUUAAGUUGCAGGGUAUAGACCCGAAACCCGGUGAUCUAGCCAUGGGCAGGUUGAAGGUUGGGUAACACUAACUGGAGGACCGAACCGACUAAUGUUGAAAAAUUAGCGGAUGACCUGUGGCUGGGGGUGAAAGGCCAAUCAAACCGGGAGAUAGCUGGUUCUCCCCGAAAGCUAUUUAGGUAGCGCCUCGUGAAUUCAUCUCCGGGGGUAGAGCACUGUUUCGGCUAGGGGGCCAUCCCGGCUUACCAACCCGAUGCAAACUGCGAAUACCGGAGAAUGUUAUCACGGGAGACACACGGCGGGUGCUAACGUCCGUCGUGAAGAGGGAAACAACCCAGACCGCCAGCUAAGGUCCCAAAGUCAUGGUUAAGUGGGAAACGAUGUGGGAAGGCCCAGACAGCCAGGAUGUUGGCUUAGAAGCAGCCAUCAUUUAAAGAAAGCGUAAUAGCUCACUGGUCGAGUCGGCCUGCGCGGAAGAUGUAACGGGGCUAAACCAUGCACCGAAGCUGCGGCAGCGAACGUAUCACUUAAAGCGAUUCAGCGGAUGACGAUUGACGGAGCGAAGCGACGUCAAAGCGUAUACAAAGUCGAGUCGGUUUAAGGAUACGUUCGUUGGGUAGGGGAGCGUUCUGUAAGCCUGCGAAGGUGGCCUGUGAGGGUUGCUGGAGGUAUCAGAAGUGCGAAUGCUGACAUAAGUAACGAUAAAGCGGGUGAAAAGCCCGCUCGCCGGAAGACCAAGGGUUCCUGUCCAACGUUAAUCGGGGCAGGGUGAGUCGACCCCUAAGGCGAGGCCGAAAGGCGUAGUCGAUGGGAAACGGGUUAAUAUUCCCGUACUUGGUGUUACUGCGAAGGGGGGACGGAGAAGGCUAUGUUGGCCGGGCGACGGUUGUCCCGGUUUAAGCGUGUAGGCUGGUUUUCCAGGCAAAUCCGGAAAAUCAAGGCUGAGGCGUGAUGACGAGGCACUACGGUGCUGAAGCAACAAAUGCCCUGCUUCCAGGAAAAGCCUCUAAGCAUCAGGUAACAUCAAAUCGUACCCCAAACCGACACAGGUGGUCAGGUAGAGAAUAC